This 243-nucleotide long non-coding RNA is filed under the name Phoenix dactylifera (date palm). Its description in RNAcentral is "long non-coding RNA (PDAC_LNC010132)". The record is from RNAcentral. Lineage: Eukaryota; Viridiplantae; Streptophyta; Magnoliopsida; Arecales; Arecaceae.
UUGAAUUCAUUAGUACAACAUAAAAUAUACUCAAAUGCUUUGAGCUCAUCAAAAUCAAAUAGGGGUAUAAUUAAUCACUCCACAAUCUCCCCCUUUUUGAUGAUGACAAAAUAUUGAGUAUUUAUAAAGUAAAUUGCUCAUCCAAGAAGUGAUUCAUAGCGAAGUUUUGAAAUGAAUUCAAAUGUCUAGUCAUUUAAUUUAUCCAAAAUUGAAAGGUAUGAGUCAGUAAACUCUGAAAUUAAA